UACGUAGGUGGCAAGCGUUGUCCGGAUUUACUGGGCGUAAAGGGCGUGCAGGCGGUCUGUUAAGUCUAGGGUGAAAGCUCCCGGCUCAACUGGGAGAGGUCCUUGGAUACUGGCGGACUUGAGGGAGGCAGAGGAGAAUAGAAUUCCCGGUGUAGUGGUGAUAUGCGUAGAUAUCGGGAGGAAUACCAGUGGCGAAGGCGGUUCUCUGGGCCUUACCUGACGCUGAAACGCGAAAGCGUGGGGAGCGAACAGG
Molecule: ribosomal RNA, 253 nt
Filed under: uncultured bacterium
Lineage: Bacteria
Description: partial 16S ribosomal RNA
Rfam family: Bacterial small subunit ribosomal RNA
Source: RNAcentral